AAAUGCCUGCUGGCCAGAGAGCCUCGCCCGCCAGGCCGGGGCCCCAGGGUUCGAAGUUAACGGUCAGUCUGGAAUCUCGGCCUCAGCAGUGGGACCACCCGGAGGGGUGGGGGUACAUGUUCGAAAGAAAAGGACUCACUUAAAUGGAGAAACCCGGAUUAGGAAAGAGAGAAAGCAGCGGCAGCAGACACGGGCCAGGGUCUGCACUCCUCCUCCCAUUUGCAGCCUUCGUAAGUGGACACUUCCAACCCCUACACCUGCCUGUCCUCCCAGUCCAGCCUUGGCCCGAGAUGUGAUCUAAUUCUCACUAUGCUGCUGUGGGCAGAGCACAUGGCAUCAGAAUGCUAGGAGCUGCUGUCGGGCGCCAUGGGAGGGAAUUCCCCAACUCAGGAAAGCUCUUCCAGCGGAAAGGAGCAGGUGGCGAGCCUCCCUGAAGAGACAGACACUGCCAACGCUACAGGCAGAGCCAAUCGUGGGGCAGUUUGCUGGACCUCACAGAGGUGAUUGAUGCAGCAUCCCCCCGGGAGCCGGGUGAAAUCACAGACUCCAGCAGCAGCUUCUGAGAUGACUGUGGCUAACAAAUUUUUCCAGCAACACAGAGCUGAGAGGAUUGGGAUCUCAGAGAAGAAGGAGCCCUGCAUUCUUGGCUUCAUCUGCCUGGAGUGGAGUUUCCAUCAUGCUGAGCUGGAGGUGCACGGGGCCAGGGAAUGAGCAAGUCGUAGCUCAAAUGUCCCAGACUCUUACUAUUCUUAUUGAAAUUUAGUAGGUUUUCUUGAAUAAAUGUUUCUUCAUCUGCUGUAUGCCCUUAGGACAAUUCCCAGGAACAUACAUCUAUAUUGAUAUCAAUAUAAAUAUAAAUAGAUAAUUAUGUAUGUAUAACUUUAGCAGUUUUACUUGUUCUGCUGGAAAGAAGGUCUGGAAGGUUUGCAGAGCUGCUCAUGCCACCAUUCCAGAAGUUAUCCACCAGUUCAUUGCUUUUUGCACAGUAGUAUUCCAUUGCAUGUCUAUGCCACAAUUUGUUUAUCCAUUCACCUGUUGAUGGACAUUUGAGCUGUUUCCUGUUUGAGGCUAUUACAAAUAAAGCUGCUUUACAAAU
RNAcentral lists this long non-coding RNA (1096 nucleotides) under Homo sapiens (human). RNAcentral describes it as "long non-coding RNA NONHSAT159395.1". The record is from RNAcentral. Lineage: Eukaryota; Metazoa; Chordata; Mammalia; Primates; Hominidae.